GAUGAAGAACGCAGCGAAAUGCGAUAACUAAUGUGAAUUGCAGAAUUCAGUGAAUCAUCGAAUCUUUGAACGCACAUUGCGCCCCCUGGUAUUCCGGGGGGCAUGCCUGUCCGAGCGUCAUUACAACCCUCAAGCUCAGCUUGGUGUUGGGCCCCGCCGCCCCGGCGGGCCCUAAAGUCAGUGGCGGUGCCGUCCGGCUCCGAGCGUAGUAAUUCUUCUCGCUCUGGAGGUCCGGUCGUGUGCUCGCCAGCAACCCCCAAUUUUUUUCAGGUUGACCUCGGAUCAGGUAGGGAUACCCGCUGAACUUAAGCAUAUCAAUAAGCGGAGGA
RNAcentral lists this unclassified non-coding RNA (329 nucleotides) under soil metagenome. Its description in RNAcentral is "partial contains 5.8S ribosomal RNA, internal transcribed spacer 2, and large subunit ribosomal RNA". The stretch from base 1 to 120 matches the Rfam family "5.8S ribosomal RNA", at positions 35 to 154 of the family's 154-position model. The record is from RNAcentral.